CCUACGGGUGGCAGCAGUGGGGAAUAUUGGGCAAUGGGCGCAAGCCUGACCCAGCAACGCCGCGUGGAGGAAGACGGCUUUCGGGUUGUAAACUUCUUUUGUCAGGGAAGAGUAUAUGACGUUACCUGACGAAUAAGCCACGGCUAACUACGUGCCAACAGCCGGGGUAAUACGUAGGUGGCAAGCGUUGUCCGGAUUGACUGGGUGUAAAGGGCGUGUAGCCGGGUUGACAAGGCAGAUGUGAAAUCCUGCGGCUUAACCGCAGAACUGCAUUUGAAACUGGUGAUCUAGAGUAAUGGAGAGGUAGAUGGAAGUCCUAGUGUAGCGGUGAAAUGCGUAGAUAUUAGGAGGAACACCAGAGGCGAAGGCGGUCUGCUGGACAGCAACUGACGGUGAGGCGCGAAAGCGUGGGGAGCAAACAGGAUUAGAUACCCUAGUAGUC
RNAcentral lists this ribosomal RNA (442 nucleotides) under uncultured bacterium. RNAcentral describes it as "partial 16S ribosomal RNA". It matches the Rfam family "Bacterial small subunit ribosomal RNA", at positions 338 to 795 of the family's 1533-position model. The record is from RNAcentral.